Molecule: ribosomal RNA, 247 nt
Filed under: uncultured bacterium
Lineage: Bacteria
Description: partial 16S ribosomal RNA
Rfam family: Bacterial small subunit ribosomal RNA
Source: RNAcentral
AUACGUAGGGGGCAAGCGUUGUCCGGAUUUACUGGGUGUAAAGGGCGCGCAGGCGGGUUGACAAGUCAGAGGUGAAAUCCUGCAGCUUAACUGCAGAACUGCCUUUGAAACUGUUAAUCUUGAGUACGGAAGAGAGAGACGGAAUUCCAGGUGUAGUGGUGAAAUACGUAGAUAUCUGGAAGAACACCAGUUGCGAAGGCGGUCUCUUGGUCCGUUACUGACGCUGAGACGCGAAAGCGUGGGUAGC